RNAcentral lists this ribosomal RNA (864 nucleotides) under uncultured bacterium. RNAcentral describes it as "bacterial SSU rRNA". It matches the Rfam family "Bacterial small subunit ribosomal RNA", at positions 64 to 873 of the family's 1533-position model. RNAcentral also lists the same sequence under 1 other name. The record is from RNAcentral.
GAAACCUUAUUCCUGAGCAUAACUGUUUCCUGACUCUGGACAGAAUGGUCUUAGCUUGCUAAGGCCGAUGGCGACCGGCGCACGGGUGAGUAACACGUAUCCAACCUGCCGUCUACUCUUGGACAGCCUUCUGAAAGGAAGAUUAAUACAAGAUGGCAUCAUGAGUCCGCAUGUUCACAUGAUUAAAGGUAUUCCGGUAGACGAUGGGGAUGCGUUCCAUUAGAUAGUAGGCGGGGUAACGGCCCACCUAGUCUUCGAUGGAUAGGGGUUCUGAGAGGAAGGUCCCCCACAUUGGAACUGAGACACGGUCCAAACUCCUACGGGAGGCAGCAGUGAGGAAUAUUGGUCAAUGGGCGAGAGCCUGAACCAGCCAAGUAGCGUGAAGGAUGACUGCCCUAUGGGUUGUAAACUUCUUUUAUAAAGGAAUAAAGUCGGGUAUGCAUACCCGUUUGCAUGUACUUUAUGAAUAAGGAUCGGCUAACUCCGUGCCAGCAGCCGCGGUAAUACGGAGGAUCCGAGCGUUAUCCGGAUUUAUUGGGUUUAAAGGGAGCGUAGAUGGAUGUUUAAGUCAGUUGUGAAAGUUUGCGGCUCAACCGUAAAAUUGCAGUUGAUACUGGAUAUCUUGAGUGCAGUUGAGGCAGGCGGAAUUCGUGGUGUAGCGGUGAAAUGCUUAGAUAUCACGAAGAACUCCGAUUGCGAAGGCAGCCUGCUAAGCUGCAACUGACAUUGAGGCUCGAAAGUGUGGGUAUCAAACAGGAUUAGAUACCCUGGUAGUCCACACGGUAAACGAUGAAUUCUCGCUGUUUGCGAUAUGCAGCAAGCGUCCCAGUGAAAGCGUUUAGGGGCUGUAAAACGACGCCCAGU